GCCGUUUUCUACCGGCUGAAGCACGCAUGCUUCCUUUGCUUCCUUUGCUUCUGCAAGGGAACAAUGAGCAAGUGCAUGUGUGGGAACCCUCCUGCCUGCUGGGCGCUCAGCUAGGAGUCCCAGAAUACCAGACACCAUUAUAUUCAAAUAUCCCUGCUCUCAGACCCCUGUAGACCUACUGGUUCUGGAAAAAAGCUUUCUUCUUCGGUCCCCUGAGUAGGCUAGUGACAACUGAAAACAUGCAGACCACAAAAGAUGUGAGAAUUCAAACUGAGCCAUAGCUCCAUCUCCUGGAAGUGUAUAUCAGCAGCAACAAGAGUAAAGACCCAGAGGCAUGAGAAACACUUCCUCACUGAAGCACUCACGUUCCGACUGUGUGCAAAAGACCUUUUGUGUCUCACUCACUGAGGGAGAUUGUUCUUCACUCAAUCAAUGAGAAGAACAGACGUCUUAGAAAACCUUCAGUACCUGGGGGAAAUGAAUGAGCUCAAACACAAGGGAAAGUCAGCCCGUGUUCAAGAUAAGCCCAUCUCAGGAAGGCAGGCACCAUGCUCCUGAGACUACUUUACCCCCAGAUAAGAAAGCCCUUAUUGAUAAGCCAAAAUCACAGAUUAUUUUAUUAAGCUCAUAUUUUAAAAGAAUGCAAAGCUUCCUUUAAUGUUACUUUCCAUUAUAAAUGUAAAAUUACAGUUUGCACAUAAUAUCUGGAUUCUGGUUAACUAUUUUCCAUACUGUAUUUUGCAAUUGCAUAUCUGCAUUUCUAUUUUUAUAUUAAAAAAUAAAUAGGGUUAUGCAAAUAAUAUUUCUAAUUGUGCAUAUUUAUGUAUUUAUAUUAAGUUUUAGUAUGUCUGCUUGCUCACAUAAUUUAUCUUCUCUUUAUGUAUAAUUUCAUUUACUUACAAUAACUAAUUAUUAGGGAAACAAAUAAAAUCUUUGAGAAAUUACCAGAG
RNAcentral lists this long non-coding RNA (950 nucleotides) under Homo sapiens (human). RNAcentral's name for it is "HSALNT0323891". Lineage: Eukaryota; Metazoa; Chordata; Mammalia; Primates; Hominidae. The record is from RNAcentral.